This 301-nucleotide ribosomal RNA is filed under the name uncultured bacterium. RNAcentral's name for it is "partial 16S ribosomal RNA". It matches the Rfam family "Bacterial small subunit ribosomal RNA", at positions 509 to 807 of the family's 1533-position model. The record is from RNAcentral.
CAGUCGCCGCGGUAAUACGAAGGGGGCUAGCGUUGCUCGGAAUGACUGGGCGUAAAGGGCGCGUAGGCGGUUUGCACAGUCGGGUGUGAAAUUCCUGGGCUUAACCUGGGGGCUGCAUUCGAGACGUGUAGGCUUGAGUGGGGAAGAGGGUCGUGGAAUUCCCAGUGUAGAGGUGAAAUUCGUAGAUAUUGGGAAGAACACCGGUGGCGAAGGCGGCGACCUGGUCCUUUACUGACGCUGAGGCGCGAAGGCGUGGGGAGCAAACAGGAUUAGAUACCCCCGUAGUCCCUGUCUCUUAUAC